This is a long non-coding RNA of Trichechus manatus latirostris (Florida manatee), 3775 nucleotides long. RefSeq lists it as uncharacterized. Lineage: Eukaryota; Metazoa; Chordata; Mammalia; Sirenia; Trichechidae. The record is from RefSeq and is a predicted model, not a curated record. The transcript has 6 exons.
UCGCUUGCAUCUGCGUGUACAUUCUGUCGGACUCCCACAGAAUGAGGUCUCUGUUUCCUUUCUGCCACUACCUAAUAUCAGCUAUGCCCAGGAGCCGGCUGAUGAAGACUUCCUGUUUGUUUUGAGUCACUGUGAGAGUGAUAAAUAUACUUUAGCUUUCUGCUUAGGGAGGAAAGAAACCAGCUGCCCUGAACUAGAGAGAAAAAUGCAGAAUUUUCACUGAAUGGCCCUGUUAUCGUGGAGUUUCAAGGGCAACAUAAAAAUGAAAACUAUAAGCCUGGGCAAAACAAAGAACUUACAUUAAUCACAGGCUUCAUUCCACAUGCUGUUCAUCCAAGGUGAUUACUGAAUAAUGGUUUCCAAUAAAGAAAUUGAGGCCCAGUGAAUCACAUGAGCUGACCAAGAGAUUCAGGAGCAUCCUCAUGGAGGACUAACCCACAAGAUACGAGCUACUGUUGUGGAACUUCUCAAACUUGGUCAAAACAUGUUCUUUAAGUUCCAAACUAUUCCCAGAAGCAAACUGACUGCUGACCAGUAGCCUGUAGAGGAACCUGAUGCUUAAAACUUUUCCAGGGAAUGGACUCCCAAACCACUUUGCCAUGGAUGAAAGAGCUGUCCAGUGACCCAAUAUGAUGAGAAAUUAGAGAAUAUCUACUGGUGCUAAAUAUGAUGGUGGGUCAAGAAAGCCUAAGCAAGGAACUGAUCAAGUUUUAAAAGAGAAAACUAGUAAGAAAGAAAAAAAGAGAGCAAGCUGAAUAGUUUUCUGGACACAUUACAUUUCUAAAUAAAUACUUCUGCAGUAUCAAAGAACAAAGUUCCGCUCCCUGAUGAUGAGCAACAAAAUUACUGGAAAUGUUUGUUAAUACGCUCUUUGUUUAAGGCCUACCAGAGGGAAAAAACACAGCAGCAACAACAACAGCUUAUAGCAGUUCAGAACUUCUGAAGUGUCCAGAGGAAAACAAACUGCAGAGUUUAAGAUUCUCUUCAGAACAGAGCCCAUUUUCGCAGGGUUCUCCAGCUUCUUCCUCUCCCCAACAGUGCAGAGGGCAGCUGCUCUCUCCAAACGCUUGAACGCUUUUACCCUCCCAAGCUGAGUUUGACAGAAUUACCGCAUUGGGGCUGAAAUUCAAAAUCUGAUUGCCAAUGUCAACUAAAACGAAGGCCUUCAUGAAAAACAAAACUGGUUAAGUAUACUUGAGGCUCCGCAUCAGCCCCACUCAUGAGUAAUGAAAAUAUCAAUUUAUGAUGCAUUUGUCUUUUGCUGAUAAAUCCUAUAGAAUUUUUCUUCAGAAAUAGAUGCUUGAAGGAGAAUAAAUUCCAACGACAGUUAUACAGAUUCAAACUUCGGUUUAGGAUUUAAUUUCACAAACAAUAUUUUGGAAUGUCUGUUAUGUGUGAGAUAGUCUAAAUUAAAUUAAAAUAGUUUUUUGAUGUUUAAGAUUUCCUUAGCUCUAAGAAAGAAGGAAUCUUGGUAACUUAAACUGGUUGAAUUUUUUAUUGAUGUUUUUUCUUGUAUCUGGGGAUAUGGAUCAAGGUUUAUCCUUAAAGAAGUGUUAUGGAUUGAAUUGUGUCCCCUCGAAAAAUAUGUUGAAUUCCUAACCCCGUACUGGUGAAUGUGACCUUGUCUGGAAAUAGGAUUUUUCUUUUGUUAUCAGUUAAGUCAAAUGAGAUCAUACUGGAGUAGGGUGAGUCGUAAUCUAAUCCCUACUGAGUGGUAUCUUACAAAAGGAGGGAAUACACAUGAAGAAAAAGUCAUAAACAUGGAAAUGAUAGAUGCCAUGUGAUUACAGAGGCAGAUGCAUCUAUAAGCAGCAAAGGAAUACCAAGGAUUUCCAGCAGCCACUAGAAGCUGGUAGAGAGGUACAGAACAGUUCCUCCAUCAAAGCCCUCAGAAGGUGAUAUGACUGAGACCUUGAUUUAGACUUUUGGCCUCUACAACUGUGGGAAAAUAAAUUUCUGUUCUUUAAAGACACCUGCCUUGUGGUAUCUUGUUAUGGCAGCUCUAGGAGAUUAAGACAAAGGGGGAAAAGUUACAGUGUUUUAUGUGCUUAUUGUGUCCUGGAUUCUGUGCUAGUAGCUUUCUACUUACGUUGCCUGUUUAUUCCAUGUACCAAUCCUAUGAUGUAGGUAUUCUACUUUCAUUUUAAAGAUGAGGUUUAAAUACUUUGUACUUUGAGUGAUUUGCCUAAGGUCACAGAAUCAAUUCAUACUACUCAAUUAUAGUAUGGGGAACACAGGAGAGCCCAGACAGAGAUGUACAAUACCUGGUCGGGGAGGAGAUAGUCUAUAUAUCAAGAGUUUUCGGACCUUGCCAAGUUGUAUCAGAAUUAGUUUGUGUAGCAUAUAUAGGAGUAGCUUCUAAGUGUAUUAAGCUAAUGUGAAUAAACUAUAAGACUACCUUGGACAAAAUUCACCUAUAUAAUUGUGUCUAUCUGGGUUUUGGAACUUAAUGUGUUGGCUCAUCUACCUGGGAAUGAUGUAAAUAUGGGGAAUGGAAGCUGGACUAAAUGGUGGCUUAGAGUCAAUGAGGAAGAAAUGACAGAGCUUCCCUGAAAUGUUGUAGUGGAAGGAGUAUAAAGCUCAGGGAGGUGGGGACAUUAAGAUGAAUCUAUCAUAUGCAACUUGCUCCGCUACUGCCUAAGCAUACCCCCAAGAGGAAACUUCCUUCACCUAAGCAUUCAGUAGUGUAUUGGUAAGGAUACCACCAGCAUUCUUGGAAAGUCUGCAGUGGCUAUCUUCUGUAGGCUGGAGAAGAGAGUAGGAGAUGCUACAAUCGACUGGGCCCACUGAUUUCAGUGGGAAUAAUGGGAUCACCAAGUGGUAGAGGCCAUACAUCAGUGCUUAACCAGUAGAGAGAAGAGGAGUGGAAUUAUCCUAAUAAGUGACAAGGAUGAAGUGAUAAUCAGAGUGUUUUCCCCAUAGGAACUUGUGACAAAGUCGCAUUGAUCAUAGGAUCCCUAGAAAUGAAAUGGACGGUCAGCUUAUGAAGGUAUUGAUUCUCACACAUGGAAAAGUCUACAUUUGGUGGGCAGAAAUGUGACUUGAGUUGCGAAGAUGAGCAUUCAUGGCCUCGUAUUCAAUUGCUAGAGCUAAUUCAGUUCACAGAGUUGGAACUCCUUGCUUCAGGGGGAGACCAGUUCCCCUUGAGGAAGAACAUGCAGUUCUGCCGUAAGGAUAUAACGUGAAUCUCCAUGUUUUCCUCACUUUGUGAGGUGGGAAUGUUAUACUACUAGAUGUGAUAUACACCUACAAGUAGCAACCUAUAUGUGGUGCUGUGUUCCCCAUAUCCAAAAUGCACGCUCACAGGAACCAAGGAGUAGAAAUGGAAGUGGCCCUUAUCUCUAUUGCAGCAAAUAAACUAAUUUAAGAAAUUUUUGUUAAUAUUCUAUGAACUUGAGAUCAGUGGCUUUAAAAGUCCUAAUCCUCCUGAAAGGGAUGGCACUGAGUUUGUGGUACGUUGCUGCAGCAACAAUGGGAAGCUAAUACAGUGGCGAAAUGCAAAGUUACAAAAAAAAAAAAUGGGUGAAGAUCUUGCUUGGCUAUGUAAUUUUUAGAAAAUUGUCCUAUUAAUGUCACUGUGGACUAGUAUAAGGGCAUGUUUAUCAUUUAAAACAAUAAAAUCUCUACCUUUUAAGACACAGUCUGGACCUUCAGUUAUAAUUAAGAAUAGGAAUCUGAGGAUUGCUACAUAGACACAUCUCUGAAAGAUGACAUGUGAGCUUUCAGUGCUUUAAAAAAUGUAAGAAAAUGCUGGGCUAAUUUAUGGAGUAUAGUG